Long non-coding RNA from Hyaena hyaena (striped hyena), 243 nucleotides. RefSeq lists it as uncharacterized. The transcript has 3 exons. The record is from RefSeq and is a predicted model, not a curated record. NCBI's taxonomy places the organism in Eukaryota, Metazoa, Chordata, Mammalia, Carnivora, Hyaenidae.
UGGUCUUCCUAGCCAUCAAAUCUCCUCCCAACCAGUGUAUUAAGUUACACCAAGGGUGUGGUUUUCAUAAAGGGUAUUGUGCAAGAUGUCAGCACAGAAAACCCUGAAAUCUCCUGUCAUGGACACAACGAAUCUACACCUAUAUAGAGAGCAAUUUCUUCUGAAGAACUGAGUUUAACAACUCAGACAAUGAGAACCACUACAAUUCAGGACAUGAGAAGUUGCCACAACCUGAACACUUGC